RNAcentral lists this long non-coding RNA (435 nucleotides) under Mytilus galloprovincialis (Mediterranean mussel). The record is from RNAcentral. Lineage: Eukaryota; Metazoa; Mollusca; Bivalvia; Mytilida; Mytilidae.
GUGGCUAACAAGCAUCCUCCUUUUAUCUUAUACUCUUUGAUUUCACCUUGAUAAUUUAAAGUAAAUAUAUUGGAAUAUAAAAUGUCAAUGUUGAUAAUUUUUUCCCUAUUUUCUUUGUAUGAUAUAAACCAAACAUCUCUGUGUUUUUCUAAUUUUUGAUUUUUUUUCGGUUGCUCUUUUUUUUUUUAGAUUUGACCUCGAUGAUAAAACAAAUUUGUUAUAAGAUAGGUUAAAUUGAUGAUGACGAUAACAAAAGGGGAGUGCUGUUUCAAAGAGAUUAUUAGUAUAUAUUUCCUCUGAUAGAAUUUUCUUAUACUUUGGGUAACCUUGCUAUUGCCCAAAAUUUGCAUAGUUGUUCAUGAAAAAGCACUUUUUUGUUAAUAUAAAGAAACCUAUGAGAUAAAAUUUUGAAAAAAAUAUGAGAAGAUAAGUUUU